GUUUCGCCCCGCCACUUAGUGUUCUAAUAGAAUGGAAAGUGGCCUCAUCUGUUGACCCAAAAAAAGUCAUCUUCAAUUAAUUUAUCGGCUGGAUGGCCGCAGUGGAAGUGUGCUGUGUUUCCAACUUGGAGGAUCCGGGUUAAAUUUCCAGUUUCACAUCUCCAAAUUUUUCAGAGGAAGCUGGGCCAAUUCGAUGAACUUAUCCAACGGACCGCUCAUACUCCUGACAGCUAUCCAAGGAGAUGGCUAUCCCAUCAGGGAUUUGAGCGACUUUGGUAAUACUGGCGGCCGAAUAGCCGAUUGGCACCAUGCAAGAGGAUCCGGGUUUGCAUCCCAGUCCGGCAUCUCCUGUAAAGUUUUUUCGGGAUUCUGUGCCCGGCCUGGUCCUCCGCAAGUAUGGAUGCAGGCUAUGGUUGGAACUGGCCCCGCCCCUUAGUAGUUUCGCUGAUUGGAAAGGAGUAUAAAAUGAAGAAAAAAGUUUCGUAGUAAUACUGGAAUGCCAGCUGCUGGAAUGAUAUCUAUCACAUGGAAAGUAGCGUAAAGCCAUAUGGAAAAAUGUAAUUAAUUUGUGCAUUCAAUUAUAUAAAUAAUAUUCUAAGCAUAUUCCAUUCUAAAAGUUAUAAGAACAAUACAGGUAUAUAUAUAUAUUAAUUUUGACGCCAGUUUCCAAUCAGUGACGAUUAGUAAGUGACGGCGCAAUUACAACCCUGCCACAGGCUAACCCUUGCCGAGCGGUUUUUUUUGUCAACAGAUGACGCCACUUUCCAUUCAAUUAGAAUACUGAGUGACGGGGC
This 794-nucleotide long non-coding RNA is filed under the name Androctonus crassicauda. Lineage: Eukaryota; Metazoa; Arthropoda; Arachnida; Scorpiones; Buthidae. The record is from RNAcentral.